ACAGCACUGUGGGGAAAAAAACAACUGAAGCCAGAAAUGAGAAACGUAUUUGCAUUAGAAAGCAUCAAGAAAUUCAAUGUGAAAGUCAAAGUGGAAGUGUUUGUACAUUAUGGCACUUUAUUGUGUCAUCUUAUUUUAGAUUCAACGUUCAAUUCACUGCCUUUUUUCGUGUCAUAACGUACCACAUUACACAGAUUCAUCAGACUAAUUUAUUGCAGUCACGGGUGACUGUUUACAGGUCAGUGUGAUUGCAUAUAAAUUACAGGAUUGAUUAUAGAUUGAGAAUAUAAAAACCCUAUUAAUUCGAAACAAGAAUAAUCUGAUAUGUGAUUUCUAUUCUCUUGUGUAGACCUGAACAUUAUCCUUCAUCACCACAUCAGCUCCUGAACUCAUCUGAUCACAAACAGAUCUGUCUCAGUGCUGCAUCAUUCAAUUCAAUUGCAAUAUCAUUAUUAUAUUAGACAACAGUCAGAGGUUUUAUUCAUUAUAAGGUCUUAUAGUGGUGUUGGUUUGAGUAUCAUGAAUAAUGACUAUAUAAUGAAUAUAAUGCAGGUGUUAUACUUUAGUCAAGAUCAUGAUCUUCCUCUGAAGUUGCAUUUGUGGUGAGAGCGUUUUCCAUUUUUGUAUUCUUAGAAUUGAAGCCCUUUGCUCACAGGAUAUAAGAAUCUUUCAUUUCUCAGAAUUGAAUCCCUUUCUGCUGUUUAAUAUGCAUCUUCUCAUUAUUUAAAAUCCCCCUGAAGCUCAGACGGCACAACAUCAGCAGAGAUCUCAGAGUUGUGAUAGACAUUUUCUUCUCUUCAGCUCAACAGAAGAUGGGAUGUAGAAAUGAAAUAACACAGAGAGAAAACCGUUGGAGCAUAAGAAACCAGAUAGGAAGAACUACAAACAUGGAGGCCAGAAAUGAGACACAAACCAGAGAAACACAAGAGAAAAACAGACAGACACCUGUCAGAUGUGACAGUAUGAAGAUAAUAAAACCAGAAUUCUCAUGUGAUCCAGACGGACCUGUAAACUUUCCUUCUGAUGAAACUUCAUCAUGUUCUGAAGAACACACAACGUCCCUGAGACAGCAGCAGCGGCUGAAGACAACACCAUCAUGAUCCCAGACUCCAUCCAUCCACACUACAGUCUGAUCACAUCCUCAGAGACGGAGGAUUACUCUAUAAUAAUCCUGAGUACUGAUCUCUAUGAGAUAAUUAUUCAUUCAUUAAUAAACACCCUGAUG
Molecule: long non-coding RNA, 1225 nt
Organism: Carassius gibelio (silver crucian carp)
Lineage: Eukaryota; Metazoa; Chordata; Actinopteri; Cypriniformes; Cyprinidae
Exons: 3
Source: RefSeq, a predicted model, not a curated record